UAUAGGCUUGGUCCUGGCCUUUCUAUUAGUUAUUAGUAAACUUAUACAUGCAAGAAUCCUCGGCCCAGUGAAAAUGCCCUUUAAUCCCCUAUAAGUAAUAAAGGAGCUGGUAUCAGGCACGCUAAACUAGCAGCCCAAAACACCUUGCCCAGCCACGCCCCCACGGGAAACAGCAGUGACAAACAUUAAGCAAUAAAUGAAAGUCUGACUAAGUUAUACUACUAAGGACUGGUAAAUUUCGUGCCAGCCACCGCGGUCAUACGAUUAGGCCAAACUAAUAGAUAUGCGGCGUAAAGAGUGUUUUAGAGUUUUAACAAACAAUAAAGUUAAACAAUAAUUAAGCUGUAAAAAGCCCUAGCUAUUGUAAAAUACAUGACGAAAGUGACUUUAAAAAACUGACUACACGGUAGCUAAGACCCAAACUGGGAUUAGAUACCCCACUAUGCUUAGCCCUAAACAUAAGUAAUUAUAAACAAAAAUACUCGCCAGAGUACUACCAGCAAGAGCUAGAAACUCAAAGGACUUGGCGGUGCCUUAUAUCCUUCUAGAGGAGCCUGUUCUAUAAUCGAUAAACCCCGAUAUACCUCACCAAUCCUUGCUAAAUCAGCCUAUAUACCGCCAUCUCCAGCAAACCCUAAAAAGGAAAUAUAGUAAGCACAAAUAUUAACAUAAAAACGUUAGGUCAAGGUGUAGCCAAUGGGUUGGGAAGCAAUGGGCUACAUUCCUCGAACCAAGGAAAACUCACGAAAACCUAUGUGAAAUCAAAAGUUAAAGGUGGAUUUAGUAGUAAAUUAAGAAUAGAGCGCUUAAUUGAAUAAGGCCAUGAGGCACGCACACACCGCCCGUCACCCUCCUCAAGUAAAAAUAUUAAAUAUUUCAUAAAUCCCAGAAUAUUAACUUAUGAGAGGAGACAAGUCGUAACAAGGUAAGUGUACUGGAAAGUGCACUUGGACAAC
RNAcentral lists this non-coding RNA (956 nucleotides) under Perimyotis subflavus (eastern pipistrelle). RNAcentral's name for it is "12S ribosomal RNA". It matches the Rfam family "Bacterial small subunit ribosomal RNA". The record is from RNAcentral. Lineage: Eukaryota; Metazoa; Chordata; Mammalia; Chiroptera; Vespertilionidae.